Unclassified non-coding RNA from Chlorocebus sabaeus (green monkey), 290 nucleotides. Its record names the gene 7SK. It matches the Rfam family "7SK RNA". Rfam says of the family: 7SK was discovered as an abundant small nuclear RNA in the mid-70s but a possible function has only recently been suggested. NCBI's taxonomy places the organism in Eukaryota, Metazoa, Chordata, Mammalia, Primates, Cercopithecidae. The record is from Ensembl.
GGCUGUGGGAACAAUCUGUGUGGUACAUCUGUGGCCCCGCUGGCUGCCAGGUGUCUGGAGACCUGUGUGCCAUCUCUCCCCGUCAUGCCAUGUGCCUGCCUCCUGAGGCUGUGAGCUGCAUCCAAGAGAAUGACCUUCCUCGACAGAGGAGGACAGCUCUCCAGGAAAAGGAAUGGGAGGAACUUCCUUCUUCUGCUCGAACCCGCAACUACAGGUUUAAAAUGCUGUGUGUGUGUGCAGGUGCGUGUGCGUGUGUGUGUGUACGUCUUUAGUUAGUGAGACCACUGUAG